Molecule: ribosomal RNA, 427 nt
Filed under: uncultured Actinomycetes bacterium
Lineage: Bacteria; Bacillati; Actinomycetota; Actinomycetes
Description: bacterial SSU rRNA
Rfam family: Bacterial small subunit ribosomal RNA
Source: RNAcentral
GGGCCCGCACAAGCGGCGGAGCAUGCGGAUUAAUUCGAUGCAACGCGAAGAACCUUACCUGGGUUUGACAUACACCCUGCCGCCUCAGAGAUGGGGCUUCUUUUGGGGGUGUACAGGUGGUGCAUGGCUGUCGUCAGCUCGUGUCGUGAGAUGUUGGGUUAAGUCCCGCAACGAGCGCAACCCUCGUUCUAUGUUGCCAGCACGUUAUGGUGGGGACUCAUAGGAGACUGCCGGGGUCAACUCGGAGGAAGGUGGGGAUGACGUCAAGUCAUCAUGCCCCUUAUGUCCAGGGCUUCACGCAUGCUACAAUGGCCGGUACAAAGGGCUGCGAUCCCGCAAGGGGGAGCGAAUCCCAAAAAGCCGGUCUCAGUUCGGAUUGGGGUCUGCAACUCGACCCCAUGAAGUCGGAGUCGCUAGUAAUCGCAGA